UGCAGUCCAUGGGGUUGCAAAGAGUCGGACACGACUGAGCGACUGAACUGAACUGAAAUUGAGUCUUAUUUCUGUUUAAUUUGCUUUAUGUAUGUCUGUGUUUUCUGUGAAGACAAGAUGACCAGCCAGCGUGAAGGAGCCCAUGCUUUUGACAGUUCUCGUCUCAAAUAAAUGCAAUAAAAUCUUGAUGAAAUAGAAACCAAACUUUAAGAUAUUUUUAUUCUUGUUUGUAAAAUAAACUAAUCAUAAUACUUCAAUCCCUAAUACAUAUCAACCUAAAGAAUAAAAUGGCCAGUUACUGUACCAGCAAAAUGAGUUUUACUUGGGAAUGGCAGAGGAAUUGCAUAAUCGGCAUGGAAACUGUGGCAAACCAUAAGCAAUCCUGGAGAAGAAAGGAGAGGAGUGCAACUUUAUGAAGAUGCCCCGGAAGUUGGGAGGGUUUGCUUUGAAGGAAAGUUCUUUGGAGUAAAUCACGAGUUCAGGUCACUCCUUCCAGAGGACUUUAAAUGCAGGAAAACAACUGAUUGCUGAAGAGAGAUCUGGAUUGGUGGUUAUGUCACAGUAUUGCUACCUUAAUUUUUUAAAUAUAUUUUGUGUUUAUCAAUGUUAUGCAUCCUUAUAGUUUAAAAAGUCAUUAGCUUUAGCAAAGUUUGUCAUCAAAAGCAGUAAUGUCUCAUUCUCCAUUCAUCACCAUUUUUCUUCCCACAAAAGCAGUUUAAUAUAUUUUGCUGAUUUUUCAGAUAUUUUCUUCUAUGGCACUAAGUAUAGUAUGUUUUGUAUGACUACUUCUUGAUUUUUCAAUUUUAGUUAUUAUCUGUUGACAUCCCACUAUGGAAGAUGAGAUUUUAGCCUCUUUCCUUCCUUUGUCUCUACUACAUAACCACUUUUCCUAUUCCCUGUCCUUCCAAGAUAAUUAUAUUAUAAUCAAUAUUCAGUUUUUCCAUUAUUGCAACUAUGUGAAGUGCUGGUCACAGUUGAACCUCUAGUAAAAUAAGACAAUUUUU
Long non-coding RNA from Capra hircus (goat), 1004 nucleotides. RefSeq lists it as uncharacterized. The transcript is spliced from 2 exons. NCBI's taxonomy places the organism in Eukaryota, Metazoa, Chordata, Mammalia, Artiodactyla, Bovidae. The record is from RefSeq and is a predicted model, not a curated record.